This 301-nucleotide ribosomal RNA is filed under the name uncultured bacterium. Its description in RNAcentral is "partial 16S ribosomal RNA". It matches the Rfam family "Bacterial small subunit ribosomal RNA", at positions 509 to 807 of the family's 1533-position model. The record is from RNAcentral.
CAGUAGCCGCGGGAAUACAGAGGGUGCGAGCGUUAAUCGGAUUUACUGGGCGUAAAGCGUGCGUAGGCGGCUUUUUAAGUCGGAUGUGAAAUCCCUGAGCUUAACUUAGGAAUUGCAUUCGAUACUGGGAAGCUAGAGUAUGGGAGAGGAUGGUAGAAUUCCAGGUGUAGCGGUGAAAUGCGUAGAGAUCUGGAGGAAUACCGAUGGCGAAGGCAGCCAUCUGGCCUAAUACUGACGCUGAGGUACGAGAGCAUGGGGAGCAAACAGGAUUAGAUACCCCUGUAGUCCCUGUCUCUUAUAC